CUGAAUUGGAAUUGAGUGAUGA
This 22-nucleotide non-coding RNA is filed under the name Arabidopsis thaliana (thale cress). The record is from RNAcentral. Lineage: Eukaryota; Viridiplantae; Streptophyta; Magnoliopsida; Brassicales; Brassicaceae.